AAUAGAUACCCCGGUAGUCCACGCCGUAAACGAUGAGUGCUAAGUGUUGGGGGGUUUCCGCCCCUCAGUGCUGCAGCUAACGCAUUAAGCACUCCGCCUGGGGAGUACGGUCGCAAGACUGAAACUCAAAGGAAUUGACGGGGGCCCGCACAAGCGGUGGAGCAUGUGGUUUAAUUCGAAGCAACGCGAAGAACCUUACCAGGUCUUGACAUCCCGGUGACCACUAUGGAGACAUAGUUUCCCCUUCGGGGGCAACGGUGACAGGUGGUGCAUGGUUGUCGUCAGCUCGUGUCGUGAGAUGUUGGGUUAAGUCCCGCAACGAGCGCAACCCUUAUUCUUAGUUGCCAUCAUUCAGUUGGGCACUCUAAGGAGACUGCCGGUGAUAAACCGGAGGAAGGUGGGGAUGACGUCAAAUCAUCGUGCCCCUUAUGACCUGGGCUACACACGUGCUACAAUGGACGGUACAAACGGUUGCCAACCGCGAGGGGGAGCUAAUCCGAUAAAACCGUUCUCAGUUCGGAUUGUAGGCUGCAACUCGCCUACA
This 544-nucleotide ribosomal RNA is filed under the name uncultured bacterium. RNAcentral describes it as "bacterial SSU rRNA". It matches the Rfam family "Bacterial small subunit ribosomal RNA", at positions 777 to 1320 of the family's 1533-position model. The record is from RNAcentral.